RNAcentral lists this ribosomal RNA (824 nucleotides) under uncultured Streptococcus sp. RNAcentral's name for it is "bacterial SSU rRNA". It matches the Rfam family "Bacterial small subunit ribosomal RNA", at positions 73 to 883 of the family's 1533-position model. The record is from RNAcentral. Lineage: Bacteria; Bacillati; Bacillota; Bacilli; Lactobacillales; Streptococcaceae.
GAGGAGCUUGCUCUUCCUGGAUGAGUUGCGAACGGGUGAGCAACGCGUAGGUAACCUGCCUUGUAGCGGGGGAUAACUAUUGGAAACGAUAGCUAAUACCGCAUAACAAUGGGUGACACAUGUCAUUUAUUUGAAAGGGGCAAUUGCUCCACUACAAGAUGGACCUGCGUUGUAUUAGCUAGUAGGUGAGGUAACGGCUCACCUAGGCGACGAUACAUAGCCGACCUGAGAGGGUGGUCGGCCACACUGGGACUGAGACACGGCCCAGACUCCUACGGGAGGCAGCAGUAGGGAAUCUUCGGCAAUGGGGGCAACCCUGACCGAGCAACGCCGCGUGAGUGAAGAAGGUUUUCGGAUCGUAAAGCUCUGUUGUAAGUCAAGAACGAGUGUGAGAGUGGAAAGUUCACACUGUGACGGUAGCUUACCAGAAAGGGACGGCUAACCACGUGCCAGCAGCCGCGGUAAUACGUAGGUCCCGAGCGUUGUCCGGAUUUAUUGGGCGUAAAGCGAGCGCAGGCGGUUUGAUAAGUCUGAAGUUAAAGGCUGUGGCUCAACCAUAGUUCGCUUUGGAAACUGUCAAACUUGAGUGCAGAAGGGGAGAGCGGAAUUCCAUGUGUAGCGGUGAAAUGCGUAGAUAUAUGGAGGAACACCGGUGGCGAAAGCGGCUCUCUGGUCUGUAACUGACGCUGAGGCUCGAAAGCGUGGGGAGCGAACAGGAUUAGAUACCCUGGUAGUCCACGCCGUAAACGAUGAGUGCUAGGUGUUGGAUCCUUUCCGGGAUUCAGUGCCGCAGCUAACGCAUUAAGCACUCCGCCUGGGAGUAC